UGAAAACGUCAAUAGAUGGAGUUACAACUUUGUUGAUACGAGUACCCUCGCAUAUCUAUAAAUACAUCGGACGCCAUCUUUGGUGUUUACCAGUAGUGCUGUAGCUGAAACUUGGUUUUAGGCUCGACUUUCGUUGAAGAGAGUGUUUUCCGUUUUCAAAAAGUGGCCGAUGAUAGACAGUGAAAGCUUAGACUAUAUCAUGAUGAUUCUAAGAGUGUAUCGAAUACGUGUUGUGUUCAAUAGUCGAAAUUCCGUGUCCGAGACGAUGAUUUAGUCGAAAAACAGUGUUGGCACGUAACGUGCGAGAUAUCCGACAUACAUACAUCUCUCGUCGUAUUUGUGUUUAAUGGAAUCUCUAUAGAUUAAUUUGCGACUACUAAACUGCACUAUCACGAAUCACCGUGGACAUGGAGCCGUCAUCGAACAGCGGAAGCGGCGAUGGAAAUGACACCAAGGGCAGCUGUUUGCUACUGCGCUACGCAAGCCAGAAUUCGCUCGACGAGAGCUCACAGAAACACAUUCCAAGGGAAAAUGGAAAGGACAAACCACCUUAUCGAAACCACCAUCACACUAAUCGGGCAUUCGACGUGAUGAAUACCAUGAGAAAGCAAAACCUGCUUUGCGACGUGACCUUGGUGGCGGAUGGCGGGGUGGAAGUUCCUGCCCACAAAAUGGUGUUGGCCGCGUGCAGCCCGUACUUUUAUGCGAUGUUUACGAGCUUCGAGGAGCGGGAACGAGAGAGGAUCACUCUGCAGGGUGUUGACCACGCUGCUCUCGACCUCCUCGUCGACUACGUCUACUCCGCGGAGGUUCACGUCACCGAGGACAACGUGCAGGUGCUUCUGCCGGCGGCGAAUCUCCUCCAGCUAAACGACGUCCGUGACGCGUGCUGCGACUUUCUUCAGGCCCAACUCCAUCCGUCCAACUGCCUUGGCAUCCGAGCCUUCGCCGAUCUCCACGGGUGUAUGGAGCUCCUCGCGCACGCCGACAGCUACAUAGAACAACAUUUCUCAGAGGUAGUCGAAGGAGAGGAGUUCCUCACCCUGACCCCGCAACAAGUCGCCAAGCUGAUAUGCAGCGAUCGUUUGACUGUUCCGUCCGAGGAGAAGGUGUUUGAGUGCGUUAUAUCAUGGGUCCACAACGAUCUGGAGCGAAGGCAAGACCACCUUGCUCAGCUGAUGGAGCACGUCAGGCUGCCUCUCCUUUCUCAGGAGUACCUAGUCCAGAGAGUCGAACAGGAACCACUGCUAAAAGCUAACUUGCAGUGCAAGGACUUUCUCAUCGAAGCUUUGAAGUACCAUCUCCUCAAAGGGGAGCAGAAAACCUUGUUCAAAACCGCAAGGACCAAACCACGGCAGCCGGUCGGUUUACCCAAGGUUCUAUUAGUUGUCGGGGGACAAGCACCCAAGGCCAUCAGAAGCGUUGAGUGCUACGAUUUUAAGGAGGAACGAUGGUACCAAGUUUCCGAGCUUCCUACGCGACGCUGUAGAGCUGGACUUUCCGUUCUCGGCGGUCGAGUUUAUGCUGUUGGGGGCUUUAACGGUUCUCUUAGAGUUCGAACAGUAGAUGUUUACGAUGCGGCGUCUGACCAAUGGUCAGCCUGUCCAGGCAUGGAGGCUCGAAGAUCAACCCUGGGCGUCGCAGUCCUCGGUAACUGCAUCUACGCGGUCGGUGGUUUCGACGGUUCAACCGGGUUGAACUCGGCCGAAGUCUACGACCCUCGGACCCACGAGUGGAGGAUAAUUGCACCGAUGUCAACGAGGCGGAGCAGCGUCGGCGUCGGCGUCGUUAAGGGCCUUUUGUACGCGGUUGGUGGUUAUGACGGUGCCUCUCGGCAGUGCCUCUCGAGCGUCGAAUGUUACAAUCCGGAAACCGAUCAGUGGAAAGCGGUACCAGAAAUGUCCUCACGUCGAAGUGGUGCCGGGGUUGGAGUCCUCGACGGUAUUCUGUACGCCGUUGGAGGUCAUGAUGGGCCUCUGGUAAGGAAAAGUGUCGAAGCCUUCAACCCCGAGACUAAUCAAUGGACCUCCGUCAGCGACAUGGCUCUCUGUAGAAGAAACGCCGGCGUUGUCGCGUUGAACGGGAUGUUGUACGUCGUUGGCGGCGAUGACGGAACGUCGAAUCUCUCCUCGGUCGAGGUGUACGCUCCGCGUACGGACACGUGGUUAACCCUGCCAGCAUGCAUGGGAAUCGGUCGCAGUUACGCCGGUGUGGCUAUAAUCGACAAGCCGUUGAUGGGAACCCUGACGAUGUGAGGUAUGCCGGCCGCUGGACACCCGUUCGACGUAGAUAACGACGUGGAAUCGACCACCGAUCAUCUACGGGAAUCGGGUCCCAGCGGCACUCCGUCGAACCACUCGGAGCAGCACGCACCUCCGCUCUACCACCAGCUUAGCCACGACUGCGAGGGGCCACGUUGCCUGUGCCAGAGAUACGAGAACGGGGAACUUGCCGCGGCUGUUCUGAACCAGAACCGGAACCCGAACGAGCUUAGGGACUACGAAAAUCAUCAGAACCUCGGGCGCGGUCAUCGGCGCCCAACCCAGAGCCACCCGAACCUGAAUCCGAACUAUCAAAACCCGAUCGAUUUCAUCGCGAACGACAACCACGCGACCGGAAGAAGGGGCGGAAGUGGACACGACCGCGACCGCCGGCACUACGAGCCUGAAGAAAACAUUUACGAACGUCUCGACGAGGUGCAGGGCUGCAGGGAAGGUGAUCAUACCUACGAGCGCAUAGACGAUAGAGCGUGGCAUCGCAGGGCUCGGUACCGGACUUCCGGUCCCCAAAACGUAGCUGGACCCAGCGACGUCUACGUCGAUUCUAGGCGCAUAACGGGGCCCUCGUGUCUGAGCAGGCUGGGGAGGAACUGUUUCUCGACCGAGAACAUUGCCUCUGCGUCGAACCGACGCUACGUAUAUCAGCUCGGUCAGAACUGCACGUGCCAAUUUUGCAGGCAUCUCGACGCCCGCGCUGUCUGCCAAUACUGCAACAACUUCCACGACAAACUCCGGUACCAGGAUCCGGGGACCCUUCCCAACCUCGCAGGAUCAAGACACUACAUAUAUCAGCUAUCAAGGAGUUGCAGGUGCGCCUUGUGCCAAGAUGAUUCGCUUUAUACUCGCUUCCCCAUCAACUCAAGACUCUCCGAUUCGUUCAGGCGGGACUGCCACUGCCGAAAUCCGGGAACCUGCUCGUGCAGGAACAGAUUUUUGUCGUACUCAAAUCCCGCGAUCUACAUCGGCAGGAUUAACCAUGCGGUAAACAAUCCACUCUACGCGACCCCCGUCGGCAUUUUGGACCCGAACCCGUCAACGUCGAGCGGUGCGCAAGGACUCGGCGAGCCCUCGACCAGCACCGGUCGGACCUCGGGUAAUUACGCGUCGAGCAAUCCUUCGAGCUCCGGGGUUCCCGCUUGUUCGGGAAAUCGAUCAAGCGAUCGUCAGCACGUCUGCGAUGACUCCUGCAUACGGAAUCCCAACGUCGGCGGUGUCUAUCAGAUCCUGGGCAAGUGUGAGAGAGCCGAUUGUCAUCACGGCAGGGUUUCCAUACACUGGGUGUUCGUGAAUAAAUGGGUUCCCUCGUGGAGUGCCCAGGAUUCUGUACCCGAGGCCGACGCUAAUCCCGAACCUGCGUCCAGAGAUGACGAACCUCGAAAUCAGCCGGAAGGUGACGCGGACGAAUCCUAAUUUCUGAGAAUUCUUGACUGCGUGUCAGUCAAUUGUAAACAAGUGAUCG
RNAcentral lists this unclassified non-coding RNA (3738 nucleotides) under Neodiprion lecontei (redheaded pine sawfly). RNAcentral describes it as "ring canal kelch homolog, transcript variant X4". The record is from RNAcentral. Lineage: Eukaryota; Metazoa; Arthropoda; Insecta; Hymenoptera; Diprionidae.